UGCCUUAGUAACGGCGAGUGAAGCGGCAAAAGCUCAAAUUUGAAAUCUGGUACCUUUGGUGCCCGAGUUGUAAUUUGGAGAGGGCAACUUUGGGACCGUUCCUUGUCUAUGUUCCUUGGAACAGGACGUCAUAGAGGGUGAGAAUCCCGUGUGGCGAGGAGUGCGGUUCUAUGUAAAGUGCCUUCGAAGAGUCGAGUUGUUUGGGAAUGCAGCUCUAAGUGGGUGGUAAAUUCCAUCUAAAGCUAAAUAUUGGCGAGAGACCGAUAGCGAACAAGUACAGUGAUGGAAAGAUGAAAAGAACUUUGAAAAGAGAGUGAAAAAGUACGUGAAAUUGUUGAAAGGGAAGGGCAUUUGAUCAGACAUGGUGUUUUGCGCCCUCUGCUCCUUGUGGGUAGGGGAAUCUCGCAUUUCACUGGGCCAGCAUCAGUUUUGGUGGCAGGAUAAAUCCGUAGGAAUGUAACUUGCUUCGGGAAGUAUUAUAGCCUGCGGGAAUACUGCCAGCUGGGACUGAGGACUGCGACGUAAGUCAAGGAUGCUGGCAUAAUGGUUAUAUGCCGCCCGUCUUGAAACACGGACC
RNAcentral lists this ribosomal RNA (577 nucleotides) under Saccharomyces kudriavzevii. RNAcentral's name for it is "LSU rRNA". It matches the Rfam family "Eukaryotic large subunit ribosomal RNA", at positions 76 to 667 of the family's 3401-position model. Lineage: Eukaryota; Fungi; Ascomycota; Saccharomycetes; Saccharomycetales; Saccharomycetaceae. The record is from RNAcentral.